RNAcentral lists this long non-coding RNA (222 nucleotides) under Lathyrus oleraceus (garden pea). Its description in RNAcentral is "Pisum sativum (pea) long non-coding RNA (PSAT_LNC016278)". Lineage: Eukaryota; Viridiplantae; Streptophyta; Magnoliopsida; Fabales; Fabaceae. The record is from RNAcentral.
AUCAUCUGCUAUAUGAUUUCAAGAAGUGAACCUUCUAAGAAGUUUUACUAUCCAUCUUCAUCCAUUCAUCAUUCAUUACGUCUUAGAACCUUUUCACACCUUAUCUUUUAAACUUGACAUAAGUGUUGUGCAAACAUCUUCAUGUUUUCUAACUAAAAACCUGGACUCAAGUCCUUGACCUUUUUUCAAAACUUCAUUUUCAUAAUACUUAUUUGAAUUGAU